This is a long non-coding RNA of Electrophorus electricus (electric eel), 985 nucleotides long. RefSeq lists it as uncharacterized. Lineage: Eukaryota; Metazoa; Chordata; Actinopteri; Gymnotiformes; Gymnotidae. The record is from RefSeq and is a predicted model, not a curated record.
GGGGACCAGCCAUUCUCCUGCCAUACAAGGGUACAUGCGUUCCGGAGAAUGUAGGUCUGUACCAAUGCCAGCUAUACUAAUUACACCGGACUCAGAGCAGCGCCCUCUUGUGUGUCAUUGUUCAGUGAAAACAGUGAAGAAUCAAGAAUCACUACGAUAAGCAUGCCAGACUGAAGAGCCUUGGCCGAAGGUCACAGGCCACACCACAGAUCAUCGAAAGGCUACUGGCAGGCCCACUAAGGAACAACCCCACAGUGUCAUGGUGACAAAUGUUGUUCAGUGAAGCUGACUUAACGACUGCAGCCAGUUUGUGAUGGACCCGUUCACGAUGAAUCAGGCACACGGUCCAUGGUUUCACCAGGAGGCAGAUAUAGCGUGGAGCCUUGGCAGUUAUCACGUGGGCGUGAGCGAGCAGUGUGACGACCAGCUGAGUAAGAGGGCAGCCCACCGGGGCAUCAUGCAGAGCCCCCCGGGGUGCCGCUGGCUCACACACAUCGCCAGGGAGGCGGGGCUCUUCAUUAGCAUGCGGGAGAGCUGAAAGCUUUCGGAGCGUCCGGCACAUGCAACGCCACUUCAAGCGCUUCUGCAGAUGGCCUCGCCCUCUCCCGAGGCUCGUCGCCGCGUGCAGGUGACGCGAGCGCGCAGGGAAGGAACGCACCUUCUCAGGACGUCGCCUCGCGCUAUAAGUGCUGACAGGACCACACGUACCGUCUCGCGCAGCACGGCUGGAAUGCUGUAAACAUUUAUCCGCGCGGGAGCCCAAAUGGCUGCCUUUUAAACAGCCCCCCAGGAACGCGCUACUGCACCUGAGCGUGAUAAUAAACACAGAAGGCCUGGACCCGCGCCCCACAAACACACACGCAUCUCCGGGGUGGCUCCGAUAAGAGCCCAGAUGACACACAGGGGUUUGGGGGGUGGGGGGUCAUCUUCUUUGAACGCUUUCUUUGUGCAAUAUUGUCUUCAAUAUUAAAGAUUGUCAGAUCUG